CUACGUGCCAGCAGCCGCGGUAAUACGGAAGGUCCAGGCGUUAUCCGGAUUUAUUGGGUUUAAAGGGAGCGUAGGCUGGAGAUUAAGUGUGUUGUGAAAUGUAGGCGCUCAACGUCUGAAUUGCAGCGCAUACUGGUUUCCUUGAGUACGCACAACGUUGGCGGAAUUCGUCGUGUAGCGGUGAAAUGCUUAGAUAUGACGAAGAACUCCGAUUGCGAAGGCAGCUGACGGGAGCGCAACUGACGCUUAAGCUCGAAGGUGCGGGUAUCAAACAGGAUUAGAUACCCUGGUAGUCCGCACAGUAAACGAUGGAUGCCCGCUGUUGGUACCUGGUAUCAGCGGCUAAGCGAAAGCAUUAAGCAUCCCACCUGGGGAGUACGCCGGCAACGGUGAAACUCAAAGGAAUUGACGGGGGCCCGCACAAGCGGAGGAGCAUGUGGUUUAAUUCGAAGCAACGCGAAGAACCUUACCAGGUCUUGACAUCCC
RNAcentral lists this ribosomal RNA (486 nucleotides) under uncultured bacterium. RNAcentral's name for it is "bacterial SSU rRNA". It matches the Rfam family "Bacterial small subunit ribosomal RNA", at positions 501 to 990 of the family's 1533-position model. The record is from RNAcentral.